Molecule: ribosomal RNA, 460 nt
Filed under: uncultured bacterium
Lineage: Bacteria
Description: partial 16S ribosomal RNA
Rfam family: Bacterial small subunit ribosomal RNA
Source: RNAcentral
CCUACGGGAGGCAGCAGUGAGGAAUAUUGGUCAAUGGCCGUAAGGCUGAACCAGCCAAGUCGCGUGAAGGAAGACGGAUCUAUGGUUUGUAAACUUCUUUUAUCGGGGAAUAAAGGUAUCCACGUGUGGAUCUUUGCAUGUACCCUAUGAAUAAGCAUCGGCUAACUCCGUGCCAGCAGCCGCGGUAAUACGGAGGAUGCGCGCGUUAUCCGGAUUUAUUGGGUUUAAAGGGUGCGUAGGUUGGUUUUUAAGUCAGCGGUGAAAGUUUGUGGCUCAACCAUAAAAUUGCCGUUGAAACUGGAGGACUUGAGUGUGUUUGAGGUAGGCGGAAUGCGUGGUGUAGCGGUGAAAUGCAUAGAUAUCACGAAGAACUCCGAUUGCGAAGGCAGCUUACUAAGCCAUAACUGACACUGAAGCACGAAAGCGUGGGGAUCAAACAGGAUUAGAUACCCCAGUAGUC